UGGGGUAUAUUGCACAAUGGGCGCAAGCCUGAUGCAGCCAUGCCGCGUGUAUGAAGAAGGCCUUCGGGUUGUAAAGUACUUUCAGCGGGGAGGAAGGGAGUACAGUUAAUACCUUUGCUCAUUGACGUUACCCGCAGAAGAAGCACCGGCUAACUCCGUGCCAGCAGCCGCGGUAAUACGGAGGGUGCAAGCGUUAAUCGGAAUUACUGGGCGUAAAGCGCACGCAGGCGGCUUGUUAAGUCAGAUGUGAAAUCCCCGGGCUCAACCUGGGAACUGCAUCUGAUACUGGCAAGCUUGAGUCUCGUAGAGGGGGGUAGGAUUCCAGGUGUAGCGGUGAAAUGCGUAGAGAUCUGGAGGAAUACCGGUGGCGAAGGCGGCCCCCUGGACGAAGACUGACGCUCAGGUGCGAAAGCGUGGGGAGCAAACAGG
This 429-nucleotide ribosomal RNA is filed under the name Chloroflexota bacterium. RNAcentral's name for it is "Chloroflexi bacterium partial 16S ribosomal RNA". It matches the Rfam family "Bacterial small subunit ribosomal RNA", at positions 355 to 776 of the family's 1533-position model. Lineage: Bacteria; Bacillati; Chloroflexota. The record is from RNAcentral.